This 536-nucleotide ribosomal RNA is filed under the name uncultured archaeon. Its description in RNAcentral is "bacterial SSU rRNA". It matches the Rfam family "Archaeal small subunit ribosomal RNA", at positions 331 to 867 of the family's 1478-position model. The record is from RNAcentral.
GGCCCCCGGCGGGAAAACUUUUCCAAGCCGGCCAAUGCGAUAAGGGGACCUUGAAUGGCCUUCCCCCUGGGGGCCCGUCCCACCGUUUAAAAAACGGUUGUUAACCAGGGCCGGGUAAGACCGGUGCCAGCCGCCGCGGUAAUACCGGCGGCUCGAGUGGUGGCCGAUAUUAUUGAGUCUAAAGGGUCCGUAGCCGGCUUUGCAAGUCCCCUGGGAAAUCCAGCGGCUUAACCGUUGGGCUUUCAUGGGAUACUACAUUGCUUGGGACUGGGAGAGGUAGGAGGUACUCGAGGGGUAGGGGUGAAAUCCUGUAAUCCUUCGGGGACCACCGGUGGCGAAGGCGUCCUACCAGAACAGGUCCGACGGUGAGGGACGAAAGCUAGGGGCACGAACCGGAUUAGAUACCCGGGUAGUCCUAGCCGUAAACGAUGCCCGCUAGGUGUCACGACGGUCGUGAAUCGUCGUGGUGCCGUAGGGAAGCCGCGAAGCGGGCCACUUGGGAAGUACGACCGCAAGGUUGAAACUUAAAGGAAUGG